This 1182-nucleotide long non-coding RNA is filed under the name Mustela putorius furo (domestic ferret). Its description in RNAcentral is "lncRNA (ENSMPUG00000027804.1)". Lineage: Eukaryota; Metazoa; Chordata; Mammalia; Carnivora; Mustelidae. The record is from RNAcentral.
GGCGCUCAGACCUCCAGCACUGCAGUCACUACCCUCAGAGACCCUAUCUGCUUGCCUUCUGACCGGAAUAUCCUGUGUUACCAUGGACAGCCCCAUGCUGACAGCUGCCUUCCUGGACUCAAGUGUCUCAUCCAGCUGCCCCAGUUGUGAUCACCUUGGGGCAUGCACCAUGACUUUGGACACAGCUGGUACAAUGCCUGGCACAGACAAGAAACUCUCAUUUUACCACCACCUACAACGAUCGCAUCUGUUGUGCUUGUACUAGACAUUCAGCCCUCUGAGAGAGGACCCCGGUGGGCUUUGUUCUCUGUUGGCCGCUCAGCAGGGAGAGCAGAGCAGCGCCUGGCACACUAUGGGCUGCUCAGGAAAAGUAUUUCGAAUGAAUGUUUCAUAAAGGAGAGUACCCUCGACACUUCGAAUAUCAGAGGUCAGAAAGCCCAGCUGGGAAGCCUGGCUUCUCUCAGGCUGGCCAUCUCCAUUGUGACUGUUUCCCCAACCAGUUCAAUUCAGCCUCUGCUGUUUGCAGCUGCAUGGUCAUCAGCAAACUUCUUAAGCCUUCUGGGCCUCCAUUUCUGCAUCUGUAAAGUGGGGCUGUUAUUAUUAGCCCCUUCCUUGCAGAGAUGUAAUCAUGUGAAAUGAAUGACUCCAAAAAACCUUAAGGAAGUGUCUGACUCAGAAGAGCCUCGAUCAAUGUCAUCUACCAUCACCAUCACCACCAUGAUUUGGCUGGGGUAGGCAGUGAAGAUGACAGAAUGGGCUCUGGGGUCCUACCAGAAGAUUAGGGGAUUAAUACCAUUUGCAAGGCCAACGCUAUCCCUGUUUGGUUUUGCCAACCUCUCGAUCCAUCCGUAAAAUAAACCGGAUGAAGCCUUUAUCCAUCUCUUGUUUUGAGAAGGAGGCUAGCAGGGAACGCGGAUUUAAUGUGGCAGAUGGUGCUGUCCUUGAAUUAUGAAACCAAAGGAGGAAAUGAAGGUGCUCGGUUGCAACAGCUACGGGCCAGCCAGGGUAGAGGCCAAGGGGUGAGGCUUCAAGGAGGGCAGAGGGUGUGUUGUAUCAUCCAAGCACUGGCUAUUCUUGAGGGCAGCGGGAGUCCUAGAAUAACAGAAUUUUAUAGCCUAAAAUAAUUUUAGGCCACCCCCUUCAUUUUAUAUAGGCAAACGAGGCCCAGAGAGGGAAAGUAAC